GGAUUGUGGCUCAGUGGUGGAGUGCUCACCUACCACCUGUGAGGUCCUAGGUUCGAUCCUCAGCACCA
This 68-nucleotide transfer RNA is filed under the name Marmota monax (woodchuck). Its description in RNAcentral is "tRNA.Gly". The record is from RNAcentral. Lineage: Eukaryota; Metazoa; Chordata; Mammalia; Rodentia; Sciuridae.